RNAcentral lists this unclassified non-coding RNA (362 nucleotides) under Hevea brasiliensis (rubber tree). Lineage: Eukaryota; Viridiplantae; Streptophyta; Magnoliopsida; Malpighiales; Euphorbiaceae. The record is from RNAcentral.
GAUACAUUGAACAUUCAACUUCCAUUUUCAUAUUACCUUUGUGUUGUGACGUAAAUUGAUGUACAAAAAGAAUAUAUGGACUAUUUCAUGUACAAAUAAAAUAGCAAAAGAAAUUAGAUCCUCAAAGUCAAAAACUGAUAUGAAAUAAUUUCAUGUUGCGGCGUCAUGUCAGUGAUUUUUGCCAGGGUAACUUGCCAGUGUUUGGGUCGGUGAACAUCUCUGCUACUCGAUCUUUUAGGCCAGUGUCAGUAACUUCACAAAAUCGACUAGACCAAUCUGGUGGUUCAACGGCUCGUGUCCCUAAACCAGGGGCACGAUCCCUGGACCCAACAUUUCUCUGUUGUUGCCAAUCAGAAACAUAA